CAUUUUGAAGUCGACUAUUCAUUUAUGUUGAAAACCAAAAUCCCGAUCUUCUGCGACCGUUUGACAAAAUACAAUUGAGUCCAUUGAACUCGUUCAAAGUUCAAUCCACAAGAUUUGAAUCAACUUUCUAAGUUUAAAUGGAACCAAGAUUAGCCUUGGGCGGCCCGGUAGUCCAGUGGUUAGCACGUCGGCUUCACAGUGCAGAGGUACCGGGUUCGAUUCCAGCUCCGGCCUCCCUGUGUGGAGUUUGCAUGUUCUCCCCCGGGCCUGCGUGGGUUUUCUCCGGGUGCUCCAGUUUCCUCCCACGUUCCAAAAACAUGCGUGGCAGGCUGAUUGGACGCUCUAAAUUGUCCCUAGGUGUGAGUGUGAGCGUGGAUGGUUGUUCGUCUCUGUGUGCCCUGUGAUUGGCUGGCAACCGAUUCAGGGUGUCCCCCGCCUACUGCCCGGAGACGGCUGGGAUAGGCUCCAGCACCCCCCGCGACCCUAGUGAGGAUCAAGCGGUUCCGAAGAUGAAUGAAUGAAUGAAU
Molecule: long non-coding RNA, 527 nt
Organism: Hippocampus zosterae (dwarf seahorse)
Lineage: Eukaryota; Metazoa; Chordata; Actinopteri; Syngnathiformes; Syngnathidae
Exons: 2
Source: RefSeq, a predicted model, not a curated record